RNAcentral lists this ribosomal RNA (376 nucleotides) under uncultured organism. Its description in RNAcentral is "partial 16S ribosomal RNA". It matches the Rfam family "Bacterial small subunit ribosomal RNA", at positions 523 to 896 of the family's 1533-position model. The record is from RNAcentral.
CGGGGGGGGGGGCAAGCGUUGUUCGGAAUUACUGGGCGUAAAGGGCGCGCAGGCGGCCUGGCAAGUCCUACGUGAAAUCCCACAGCUUAACUGUGGAACUGCGUGGGAUACUGCCAGGCUUGAGUCCGGGAGAGGAGAGUGGAAUUCCCAGUGUAGCGGUGAAAUGCGUAGAUAUUGGGAGGAACACCGGUGGCGAAGGCGGCUCUCUGGACCGGUACUGACGCUGAGGCGCGAAAGCUAGGGGAGCAAACGGGAUUAGAUACCCCGGUAGUCCUAGCCGUAAACUUUGAGCACUUUGUGUGGCGGGUAUCGACCCCUGCCGUGCAGAAGCUAACGCAUUAAGUGCUCCGCCUGGGGAGUACGGUCGCAAAGGCUG